CAGUCGCCACGGUAAUACGUAGGGUGCAAGCGUUAAUCGGAAUUACUGGGCGUAAAGCGUGCGCAGGCGGUUAUAUAAGUCAGAUGUGAAAUCCCCGGGCUCAACCUGGGAACUGCAUUUGAGACUGUAUGGCUAGAGUGUGUCAGAGGGGGGUAGAAUUCCACGUGUAGCGGUGAAAUGCGUAGAUAUGUGGAGGAAUACCGAUGGCGAAGGCAGCCCCCUGGGAUAACACUGACGCUCAUGCACGAAAGCGUGGGGAGCAAACAGGAUUAGAUACCCCCGUAGUCCCUGUCUCUUAUAC
RNAcentral lists this ribosomal RNA (301 nucleotides) under uncultured bacterium. Its description in RNAcentral is "partial 16S ribosomal RNA". It matches the Rfam family "Bacterial small subunit ribosomal RNA", at positions 509 to 807 of the family's 1533-position model. The record is from RNAcentral.